This 309-nucleotide ribosomal RNA is filed under the name uncultured bacterium. Its description in RNAcentral is "partial 16S ribosomal RNA". It matches the Rfam family "Bacterial small subunit ribosomal RNA", at positions 504 to 807 of the family's 1533-position model. The record is from RNAcentral.
AGAGACAGCAGUAGCCACGGUAAUACGAAGGGUGCAAGCGUUACUCGGAAUUACUGGGCGUAAAGCGUGCGUAGGUGGUGGUUUAAGUCCGUUGUGAAAGCCCUGGGCUCAACCUGGGAAUUGCAGUGGAUACUGGGUCACUAGAGUGUGGUAGAGGAUAGUGGAAUUUCCGGUGUAGCAGUGAAAUGCGUAGAGAUCGGAAGGAACAUCUGUGGCGAAGGCGACUAUCUGGGCCAACACUGACACUGAGGCACGAAAGCGUGGGGAGCAAACAGGAUUAGAUACCCCGGUAGUCCCUGUCUCUUAUAC